This is a long non-coding RNA of Zalophus californianus (California sea lion), 1839 nucleotides long. RefSeq lists it as uncharacterized. The transcript is spliced from 6 exons. The record is from RefSeq and is a predicted model, not a curated record. NCBI's taxonomy places the organism in Eukaryota, Metazoa, Chordata, Mammalia, Carnivora, Otariidae.
CCACAUGAGAAGUUCAGAUGCCCUAAAGCUGCCAUGAUACAGAAAACAAGCAGAGAGACCUCCUCGAGGAGCCCCACUCGCUUGAGCCAUCAGCUUUGGAGUCUUCCUAGCUGGGGCACCAGGCUUGUGUGUGAAAAAGCCUUCAAAAUGACCCCAGGCCCAGACACCAUUUGCUUAUAACCUCAUGAGACCCCAAACCACCCAGCUGAGCCACUCCCAAAUUCUUGAAUCACAGAAGCAUGAGAGAUAAGUGGUUAUCAUUAUUUUACGCUGCUAAAUUUUGGGGGGAUUUGCUGUACAGCAGUCAAUAACAAAUACACCCUCUCACUAAAUUAACAUCAGCCAGAUUCACCCACUUCAGUGCAUCAAGCUUUUCAAAACAUGUUAAGAUUUACAAGUCAGAAAUCUAUUUACGGGCUUCUAAAUUUUAUUCCCAUUUCUCCUAUUGAAUAGCAAAAGCCAAGACUCUCGUGCCAGCUUGAGAGGUAUGAAUAUGAAAAUUCACAACUCCCUGAAGCCUUUUCUGAGCUACCGAGAAUGUCACUUCAUCCACUGCCUGGCUGAGGAGGAAGGGAGGUGGAGAGGGACAGGGGCCACCGAGGGACUGUGGAAGUCGUUAGCAGAUGCCUUCCUGAAGCAAAAAGCCAAAAAGGCAAAUCCUGUUAGUUUGCCUGAAUAUGUUUCCUGCAACUCCCUUGUCAUUUUGAUUGAGAACUCCCUUGAUUUCUGCUUUUGACCCUAGUCAAACUGAUUCUUGAAUCCUAUUUUGUCUGGAGGCUUGGUAAACUAUCAGAGUGCCACCUGAGAACCCAGAGACCAGCAAGUUAACGAUAACACAGAUAUCUAGAAAAGUGAUUCAUCAUUGUAUGAAAGCACAUGAGGAACAGAGGUUUCAGCUGAAGACAUAUCUAAAAUGCUCUGAAAUGGUUCAGCACAAGUCUUUCUAGUCUCUUCUCAAAGGCAGGAAAUGAUGCUAUUUGACACUGGUAAUAGAGGACGAACCAAAGGUGUACCUCAGUCCUAUCCCAUGGACUCAUGUCUUCACCGAGACCCUCCAGACAUCAUGGAAUGCCCAUCACCAGAUUUUUGUGUCCCCUAGAAUGAUCCCUUUUAGUGGAAGAAGAAGAAGGAAGAGGAGGAGAAAGAGGGGAGGAAGAAAUGUUCUUAGCCUUAAAGCCUAAUCAGCUUGUUUUUCUGUAGCAUCUUACUGAAAGCAUAGUCCAUCAGUCACGGAAGAGCAUAUCACAGUUUCUAUCACUCCCUCUGAGAUUCCUGUUACUUGACUUCUGUGUAAGUUUCAGUUUGAUCUCUCCCGGUGUAACAACUGGCAUUAACUCAUAUUGCUGUAAUGAAAAAUUCUAAGGAGCAAAUAAGGGGGAUUCGGUCUUUGAAGCUGUGUUGUAUGGUAAGUAACUUUCUAGUAAAUCAUGCUAUUGCAGUGGAAGAGCUUGGAGGGAAGACAAGCCCCGAGUUUCAUGGUUAUGUAUAAUUCAAAACCAGAAAAUCAGAACACUCAGAGAUAACAUUCUUUUGGAUGGACGGAAGAGUUUGGUUUGUUAAUGGAUCCCACAGUACAACUUGAAGAAGAGAAAAAUUAUUUUCUCAAAAAUCUUUAAAAUCACAGAUUUCUGGUCAAAUUGGCAGCACUUCCUAGUUUUAAGGGUUGAAUUUACCUGAGUAAAACGACUCCGUGCAAUUUGUAUAAUUAUUCCACAGCUAAUUGCAGCCACACCGUGGAAGUCACACCUCCACAGAAAAAUACACAGAUUCACAUCAUUAGGACAUCUUACUGAAACCUGACAUUCUAGGUGAGAUUUUUUUCCCCUCUCCCUGCUUCUC